GGCGGACGGGUGAGUAACACGUGGGUAACCUACCUAUAAGACUGGGACAACUUCGGGAAACCGGAGCUAAUACCGGAUAAUAUGUUGAACCGCAUGGUUCAAUAGUGAAAGAUGGUUUUGCUAUCACUUAUAGAUGGACCCGCGCCGUAUUAGCUAGUUGGUGAGGUAACGGCUCACCAAGGCAACGAUACGUAGCCGACCUGAGAGGGUGAUCGGCCACACUGGAACUGAGACACGGUCCAGACUCCUACGGGAGGCAGCAAUAGGGAAUCUUCCGCAAUGGGCGAAAGCCUGACGGAGCAACGCCGCGUGAGUGAUGAAGGUCUUAGGAUCGUAAAACUCUGUUAUUAGGGAAGAACAAACGUGUAAGUAACUGUGCACGUCUUGACGGUACCUAAUCAGAAAGCCACGGCUAACUACGUGCCAGCAGCCGCGGUAAUACGUAGGUGGCAAGCGUUAUCCGGAAUUAUUGGGCGUAAAGCGCGCGUAGGCGGUUUUUUAAGUCUGAUGUGAAAGCCCACGGCUCAACCGUGGAGGGUCAUUGGAAACUGGAAAACUUGAGUGCAGAAGAGGAAAGUGGAAUUCCAUGGUACGGUGAAAUGCGCAGAGAUAUGGAGGAACACCAGUGGCGAAGGCGGACUUGUCUGGUCGUGUAACUGGACGCUGAGUGUGCGAAAGCGUGGGGAGUCAAACAGGAGUUAGAUACCCUGGUAGUCCACGCCGUAAACGAUGAGUGCUAAGUGUUAGGGGGUUUCC
This 756-nucleotide ribosomal RNA is filed under the name uncultured Staphylococcus sp. RNAcentral's name for it is "bacterial SSU rRNA". It matches the Rfam family "Bacterial small subunit ribosomal RNA", at positions 97 to 835 of the family's 1533-position model. The record is from RNAcentral. Lineage: Bacteria; Bacillati; Bacillota; Bacilli; Caryophanales; Staphylococcaceae.